RNAcentral lists this long non-coding RNA (6298 nucleotides) under Sus scrofa (pig). Its description in RNAcentral is "lncRNA (ENSSSCG00000057731.1)". Lineage: Eukaryota; Metazoa; Chordata; Mammalia; Artiodactyla; Suidae. The record is from RNAcentral.
CUUGCCCUGGUUACACAGCAGGGCCAGGUUCUGAUGCCAAAGCUCGCACCCUUAUCUGCAGCUUUCCACUGUCUUUCUCCAGAGUCCUUGGUGCCAAGGACUCAGCAGUGCAGAUAAAGGGACCUGACGGCAGCAACUGAGGGGCCAGGGCUGGGUUUGGACCUCAGGGGACCUUCCCUCCCAACUCUGGGUCUUGGUGCUAUGGAGUCAGAAAAUCUGUUAUCAGUCAUUUAUGGAGGAUUGAGCUUGGGGCAAAGAAUUUCUACCCAUCUUAAAGAGGACACUAGAAUCCAGAUGUUAGCAUCCAGGGCGACCCGUAGCCACCAUCUUUCUGGUAAUCCCUCCCUACAGACCGUCUCUUCAGGAGACCUCUUGGCAGAUACAAAUGUUGCUCAAGGAUAGUCCCACCAGUGAAUUAUUCUUCUCUUUUCUUGAUUUGUUGGUUCUGGUCUUUGGAAGUCAGAGUGCCUUCUUUCUUGAUCUUUAAUGGUGAUGUUUCCACACAUUCUUACUCCAAAUUUUAUUUUCCAAUAUUCCUCCCUAGGCCCCCAGUGUUCUGUCAUCACAGCACUGCUUUAAGAAAAUCAUGGUAGCACUUUUGAGGUUUAGGUUUAUUUUCUAGCAAGACAUUAACACUUCUGCCUUUCAAAGAGGAACUGGAGAGAGAAAUAGAUUAGGAGGCAGGAAGCUGGAUGCCAGGCUCAGCUCAGCUCCCUGAGAGUUGUGUGGUCCCAGGCAAGUCAGCCCACUGAGCGAGUAGAGGGUCUAAUCCCGCCAUUGUACUUCUUGGUCUGGAAGAAGCUCAGCAUAUUCUCCUGCCUGGGGCUGGGCUGGAGAGACAAGCCCCUGGCUCUAGGGUAUGGGAGAAACGAGGGUGUCAGGAUGAUGGCCAAGAGGGAGGAUGAAAUAGUUCCCCACAACAAAGGGGCAUGAGUUCUGAGCUACUUUGAAUGACGAGCUCCUGGCAUCUGAGGAUUCACUCCUGAGACCCCCUUUGGAAGAAACUUCCCUGACUGACUGUUGCAGGGUCCAGACUUCCAGACACAUGGGAAACAAGAAACGGGACCAGAGAUGGACAUCGUUGAUGUAAACUUCUCCUUGAGUCAUCUCCAGGUCACAUCUAAGUAUCUUCUCAGAGGGCGUCAAGGCAGUUUUUUCAACCUUCUUUUUAUUGAUAGGUUGGUAUCAUACAUUACUUUCUUUUUUUUUUUUUUUAGGACUGCAUCCGUAGCUAGGGGUCUAAUCAGAGCUGCAGCUGCUGGCCUACACCACAGCCACAGCAACACCAGAUCUGAGCCAUGUCUGUGACCUACACCACAGCUCAUGGCAACGCCGGAUCCUUAACCUACUGAGUGAAGCUAGGGAUCGAACCUGCAUCCUCAUGGAUGCCAGUCAGAUUCAUUUCCGCUGAGCCAUGACAGGAACUCCAACACUACCUUCUAAGAAAAGUGAUUGCUGCCCUGGAGAUUGGACUUUCAGGACUCACUGGAGAUAUUUGAACUAUUUUCAAUAUUUCAGAAAAUCUUUAGGAAAUUGUACAUUUACACAGAUAAUAAUGUGUGUCCUAACAAAAAUGUUCAGUUCCUUUGCCUUUGGGCUAGAAAUUAUAUUAUUAGAUUGGUGUGGUAACACUGGUUAUCUCAUGCUAAUGGGAAAAGUUGACUGGCAGACCUCUAUAUUAUGAGUAAUUAAUAAGCAGGGAAAAUAAUUCAUUUACUUAUUUGCCGUUUACCCCCCAUCCUGUUACACAGCAGAUUGGAGAUGGCUGAAUUACUGCUUGAUUUUUUAAAAAUUAUAAAAUAUCUUUUACACCAUUGAGCUUGUGCAGGAAAAAACUAAUGAAAAUAGCAUUAGGGAAUGAAGGCUUGGAGGGCUCUAUGUUGUCUUAUCUCUUAUCACUAAGGUAGGUGGUCUGAGGGUUAGUGGAGCACCCCUAGAGGCCUCUUAGAAAGGGGGCUACUUGCGUUCAGCCUCAAAGACACCCCUCCAACUAGGGGUGCAGAUGACUUUUUUUCUACUCUGAUAAAGUUGUCCCUAAGCUUUACAUUCACCUGGAUUCUUGAACUUCCCAGUUAUUUAAAUUCUUGGGGAUGAACUUAAUGUCCAACCUCUGUCUAAAACUGUACCUUGUGGAAAAUAAUAUUCUUAAAAUGUGUAUAUAUGACUAAGCCAUUUUGCUAUACAUCAGGAAUUGGCACAACACACUAAAUCAACUAUAAUUUUAAAAAGUUCUUAGAUAAAUAAAAAGUCUAUUUGCUUAAUUAAUACAUUUAAAAAGAAAAACAACCUGUAUCUUGUAAACCAGAGUCCUCACUUGCUUCUCUGAAUGACGAAGGCCCUUUCUUCUCCGCCCUGUUUAGCAGGUAAUCAGGCAAAGCCUUGGUGUCUUUGCUAAAUGCUCCCCUGUUAUACAUCUCUCCGAGGCCCCUUGUAGGCCCCUCUCAAAUCUUUAGUAGCAGAAGAUUUGAUUCAAUGCCAUAGAGGACCUUAUCAUUUUGUAACCUUUACUAUUUCAAAACGCUUUUGUGGGCUAGUGGUCGUCACACCAGUGAAGAGAGGUAAGUGGGGAGGUGUUAACAUCUUUCUUCUGUAGACGAAGAAAUAGAGUCUCAGGGGAGAAAUAGAGCCUCAGGGAAGACAUAGAGGCUUACCCAGAGCCACCCUGUGGUCAAAUGAAAGAUCUGGAAUAUGAACCACUAAAGCUUCCUUUUAUUCCCCCCUCCACUGUGCACCUUCUUUCUAGGCAUUCCAUUCCAAGUGCAGUGGCUUUUAAAUUAUAUCACCUUACUGGACAGUAUUGCAAUAAGUUAUUUCUCAGGAGAUUUGAGUGAGCUGCUAGAAACCCUUUUGAGUGGAUAUGGGGCUAAUCCUGAUAGCAGUAAAGCUUAUGCUGUAACCUUUGUUUAGCUGAGAGCUUUAUUUUUCUAUCUGAUACUUGGACCAGUCAAGGACUGGGGAGCCCACAGCCCAACAUUCCCAUUCUGCCAAGAGGGCUGCAAAAAUAAUAACCAUCUGGAUAAAUGAAGCUGCCUGGUAAACAAGGGAACUGAGCACCCUCAAAGAGAAGCAGUCUCCUUCUGUCCCACCGACCAGCAGCUUUCCUUGGUUGGUUUCUGUGUUAUUUCCUUUCUCGUCUUACCUUAAGGUCUAAUUCUGGAUUCACUGAGGUGUUACUGCAAAGCCUCCCUUCCCUUCUCAGUUGGGACACGUAGAUGAUCUGGAAGGUGGAAUCGAGUUGGGUCCUCUGAAGCCUGCAAAUUCAGGCUCUGCCACUCCCCAGGGCAGAAGCCCAUCUCACCAGCCAGGAGGAGGAUUUUAGCUGUUCCUUUAGGUUGGCUGCAAAGUCUCAAUCCCAGGCCCCAACAUGCUGCAUCCUUCUGGGAGGAUGAGAAAGGAAUUGCUUCAUUUUGAGGCAGCCAAGUGGAUAGAUGGUGGGGAGUGUCUGCUUUGGAAAUGCAUUUCUCACAGCAAAUAACAUUUGCAUGAUUGCACCUGCAAAUAUCACCGUGGCAUUUGCUAAGUGAAACACAUGCUUUUGCUUGCCUGACCUUCACCUUGUUCCAGCCCCAAAGUGAUCCUGUGUCUGGGGGCAGGGGUGUCUACCAUGGGGAGGGACUCUCCCCUCAGCUCUGUCCUCUGAGGGUAAGAUGUUCCCAUCUUUACCUGGGAGAAAACAUCUCUUGCAACACGGACUCCAAGUCUUAAGCAAAUUCUGAUCCGAGUGGUCUGUGACAUGGAGGCAAUGACAGUGAACCCUUAUAGUUUUUAUUCUUUGCCUCUUAUAAGUCUGCAAUAUAUGAGAUGAUGGGCCUUUUCUAUUUUGCAUUGUACUAGACCCUCUUUUGUCUUGAUAUUUUUGUACAUAUGCACAGUUACCUGCAAAGAUGAUCAGCUCCUGCUGGAGGGCGACUGUAUCUUUUACUGCGCGGAGUUGGUGGGCUGCGUUUAGGUGUCUGUGCAAAUAUGUCUGUAUAAGACCAUAUGGGGGGAGUUCCCGUUGUGGCGCAGUGGUUAACGAACCGACUAGGAACCAUGAGGUUGCGGGUCCAAUCCCUGGCCUUGCUCAGUGGGUUAAGGACCUGGCGUUGCCGUGAGCUGUGGUGAAGGUUGCAGACGCGGCUCGGAUCCUGCUUUGCUGUGGCUCUGGCGUAGGCUGGUGGCUAAGGCUCCGAUUCGACCCCUAGCCUGGGAACCUCCAUAUGCCGCGGAAGCAGCCCUAGAAAAGGCAAAAAGACAAAACAAAACAAAAAAACCAUAUGGGCACAGAGAAGCAUGUGGAUGGGUACAUACUGGGUUGUUAACAUGGAUUGUCUGGGCAAGGGGUGGCUAAUGUGGAUGGGAAUAGAAGGAGAAUUGGAAGGGUAGUUCAACAAAGAAAAAGGGCAAAGAAAGGCUACACUUAAAAAAGAAGCCAUUCCUAGUACCUCAGUUCAGCUUUGGAGAAAAAAGAAAAGAAAAGAAAAAAGCCAAGAUGAUGAAUCAGCCAAUCACAUGUAUGCACUUGUGUGAAAUUUUACAUGUGUAUGUAUGUCAAGAAAUUAACAUAGAGUAUAAAUAAGGAAGACAAAAGAAGUACUGUGCACAUACAGACAUGCAAUAAAUAUCUGGUGAAUGAAUGAGUGCUGGAUAGCAUGCUGAUGUGAUCAUCUCAUAGACUUGAAUUUUCAAGGAGUAGUUUAUUUGCUAAUAUUACUCUGACCCUGCAAUGCUGGUAGUGAGAUGGUAUAAGCAGAAUCACUAAUGUUCUCUGGCUCGGAGGUAGGACCACCUGCCUGGGAGAGUCCCAGUUUACUCUGUGGUCCCCUGUUCACUGGCCAGCUGGAGUAAUCGAUCCAAGUGGAAAUGACAGGCCCCAGCCCGGGUGUUGUGCAUUAGCAUUGGUGGGGUGAGGGGUAGGCUUGGGAAUCUGCAGUAUUAUGCUCAUUACAGCUUCAGAACUGUUGCUCUCGUCCUUGUUAGCUGCCAAAGUGAUGUAGGGCCUUUAUAAUUAACGAUUUUUCAAACACAGCAAAACAAAGAAAGAUUUAUUAUUUGUUAUAUUUAAAAAAAAAUCAUGCCUCAUUGUCUGACCUUCUUUUGUUUAUUGCCAGUAUUUAAAAGACCUAAUUCAUGAGAACUUUGUAAUGUGUACAUAAAACUUGAAAUGAAGCCGUAAUUCCUGAACGGAAUACCCCUCAGUACCUUCUCUUAUCCCAGAUUUGUGCAAUGCUGACCUGCCCUAGCAAAAGAAUCUAAGGUCUUUUGUCAUCCUAAAACAAAUUUCUGAAAACAAAUGUUAAAAGCAGCAUGGAGGAGGAGAUCCCUGCUAGCUCAGCAUGAUCUGGUGGUGUCACUCUUGUGGCUCUGAUUACAGAUAUGGCGUGUGUUCGGUCCUGGGCCUGGGAACUUCUACAUGCCAUAGGUUCAGCCAAAAAAAACCAAAACCAAAAACAAAACAACCAGCAUGGAAAAUAGUAUAAUGACCCUCCACGUUCUCACCUCUCAGUUUCACCCAGGCAUAAUAUUGUGCUAUGCUUUCUUCAAAUAUAUAUUUUCAUAAAUAAAACAUUCUAGGAAAAAUUGUGUAGCCUUCCCUGACCCAUCCUUCUUUCCCCUUCCCACGAGUAACCACAGUCCUGAAUUUAGUGAUUUUCUUUCCAUCAAUAUUUCAUAUAUCACCGUAAGAUAUAUUCAUACACACUUUGACAUAUUUUAAACUUCAUAUAAAUGGUAUCAUACAGUAUGUAUUUCUCUACAAAUAGAUUUAUUUUGCUCAAUGAUUUACCAUGUUGACAUAUGUAGCUCCAACUCAUUUAACUGUUAUGUAGUGUGGCAUAGUGUGAUAUAGUAUUGCGUCAUAGAGAAUGGUAGCAUAGUAUUACCAGUGUUGUAUGAAUGUAGUAACAGUUUUAUUUUAUUUUUUUUUUUUUUUGAGGGACAUUUAAGGUGCUUUCAUUUUUGAAACUAUUGCAGUGAACGUUUUUGAGAAUUUCUCUUGCUGUGUGAGGAUGUUCUACAUCUAGCACUGGACUCCUGGCUUAUCCUGUGUGUGUAUCUGCAGCUUUGACAGUCUUUGCCAAAUUGUUCGGCAAAGAAGUUGCACCAGGGAGUUCCCUUCAUAGUUUAGCAGUUAACGAACCCGACUAGGAUCCAUGAGGAUGAGGGUUUAAUCCCUGGCCUUGCUCGGUGGGUUAAGGAUCUGGCAUUGCCAUGAGCUGUGGUGUAGGUUGCAGACAUGGCUCGGAUCUGGCGUAGGCUGGUGGCUACAGCUCUGAUUAGACCCCUAGCCUGGGAACCUCCAUAUGCCAGUGGGUGUGGC